Long non-coding RNA from Phacochoerus africanus (Common warthog), 2507 nucleotides. RefSeq lists it as uncharacterized. NCBI's taxonomy places the organism in Eukaryota, Metazoa, Chordata, Mammalia, Artiodactyla, Suidae. The transcript has 4 exons. The record is from RefSeq and is a predicted model, not a curated record.
CAGUCCUCUUAAUCUCUGAGGAUGAGCCUCGGGAGUCCUAUACAACCGAGCCGCUAUCACAGCCUACGGUUCUUGUGAUCUAAACAAAUCCAAGCUUAGCAGCAGCCACUUCAGGAAUGUACAGCACAACCCACUGAAAUGGAAACAUCAACAAAUGGACCCAGAGACUAGCUUUCGGGUCUAGAAGUCUCCCAAGGACGGCACAUCCAAGAGGCAGGGGAUAAGCCAGAACCUGGCAUCCGUGGCUGGCUGUCUAUCCCAGGGGAUGGAGCUCUUCCUUGAAGAGGGAUCAGCCCAGCACCCUCCCUCUCAGCCAGCUCCCUUCUCAGCACAGUGCUUGGACUGAAGCCCCCAUCCUGCACCAACAGAAGACUUGUUCCAACAUAUGUUUCCAAUCAGCCACCCACUUGCUUGGGUCAGUAAGGAGGCUCAAAUGUUUUGGGAUGUACUCCACCUCUCCCACAGGAAGAAGUUUGCUCCCCGCUGCAGAAAGAGAUGACCCAUCUCCAGGUCCAUCCACCCCACUCCUAGGAGAGCUCCUUGGGGUCAGGGUCUUGGUCUCAGCAUCUUGAUACCAGCCUUGACCCUGGCACAGAGUCCACCAUGGGCACUCAUGUUGAGGCAGACUCAAGGAGAAGGAGGCCCCACUGAAGUCACACUUGGAUGCCAGACUCGCCGCGCAAGGGAGGGCGCUGCGGCUGCCAGGACCAGCCCAGGCACACAGGGGGGCAUUCACAGCCUCGUGGCCACAGCCCCUCCCAUCUGCCCUGUGCACCCCAGCAGCAAACAGAACUCUCUGUCUCCGUGCCGGAGUCAAGCCUGCACAGAAUUAACUGUAAUAAUUGGCAGGUGGGCCGCUGGCUUCUGGGUUUCAAUUCACCAGGGGCUCAUGAAAAGGGAAGAAAAAAAAAAAAGUGAUGUUCUGUUGUAGCCAGUAUUUAGCUGGGGCUCGGAGAAGUUUCAGCUUUCCAUGACAAGAAACAAACUGUGUGGCUGCAGCUGCCCUGGGCAAACAAGGGCUCCAGGACGGCCUUGGAGAGAGAAGCCCUGGCUGGCCAUGAUCACUUUGCUCCUUGGGGAAAGAGGAGGAAAUAGGCCUUGACCUGCUGCCCUUCUCAGAAGCACAGAUAAUGGAGAAGAAAGGAGUCUUUCUGGGAGGUUUUUUCCUUGGAUGGAAGGGAGUGAUCAUCACCCCCCAACAUUUUUCCAUGGCAGGAAGGCCCUCGAAACACUUCACAAGAGUACCUGCAAUAAGGAUGUUUGUCCCAGCCCACAGCUGAGCCACCAUUCACCAGCCUCCACUGUACUUCUGAUCUUUGCCCACUGCAGACAUCACUAAUCAACAGCGCUUAUAUUUUCUCCUGAGCCUUAGAUAUGGACUCAGCAUCCUUCUCAACACUGUACUCGUGAAGCCACUAAAAAUUAAUAGGAGUUGGCAUGAAAGCCAAAAAAUAUUUGCCACAUCUCUUUUAGUAACUCUGAAGAGGCCAAAGUUACAAUCUCACCAAAAUUUCUGCAAAGACAGGAGUGCAGCGAAGUCCUAUGACGGAGCUGUGGCUUUGCUGCCAGUUACAGCCCCAGCUGGGGAUCCUUCGCAUUGCUCUCCAGAGAGUGGGCUCUGAUGAUGACCCUCAGGGAGGGGGACGCUGGGCAGGAUUUCACUGGAGACCCACGUACGGCGGCCCAGGCCUGGGGCAGCCAACGCCAAGGGCAUGUCUUUUCUGUUCAUGGCACCUGCAUCCAGUGCUAGUCCUUCUCCUGGAGCUUUUGCCUCCAAUCAGCUACAGAGGGACAGAGCAGCCGCCAUCCCGAAGUGCUUUCUUGGGGACAGCUGCCCCGUCGGCAGUGACGCUGGCCAUGCGCGUCUCCCUUGCUCUUUCUCAGCAGGAUGGUUUGCUCCCCUUUUCACUGGAAGCUAGUGGAUAGUGCUGGGGUGGGGGGACUGGCUGCCAGGGCUGGGAAACAUUGAAGAAGCGGCUUCCCUUGGGGUCAAGCCCACAUUCUUCCCAGGGGAGAAUGUCCUUAGUUCAGGACCCAGGUGACCCCAACUCUGCUUUCAAGGAUGGCCAUCCUUGGGCGUCCUUCCAGUGGGCUUUGGGACCAGGUCUCCUAGGUUCCUUUCCCCGGUCCUAUUGUUAAGCACAUGAGAGAUCAAAGCCUGAAGCACCUACAAUGGUGCCUCGUUCUUCUCAGCCUGAGGCUGGGAGGAGCUGCCUCCGCCAUCGCAAGUUGCAAGUCGAGUGCUGUGUCUUGGGCACUGGCCUACUUCUCCAAAAAGGAGGGAGACCUGGGCAGCCCCUCCCUCUCCCCCACCUCAAGGUGUGGUGGCAGGGCCACUGCUUGGGGUCUCAGAUGGCCACUUCAGCUCUCUGAAUCGGCUUUCUCCCCUGCAAAAUGGGAAUAAUGACACCACCUCCUAGGAUCGCUCUGAGAACAGAAUGAGAUAGUUUUAUGUAUAAACUAAAAUUUAUUUCUUUAUAUUUUUUUAAGUUACAGAGGAGUUCCCA